CGAACGCUGGCGGCGUGCCUAACACAUGCAAGUCGAGCGAGAAAGUCUUCGGAUGAGUAAAGCGGCGGACGGGUGAGUAAUACGUAGGUAAUCUACCUUUUGUGGGGAAUAACUAAGGGAAACUUUAGCUAAUACCGCAUACGGUUUCAGAUCUUAUGGUCUGAAAAGAAAGGGGGGUCGCAAGAUCUCUCGCAAAAAGAUGAGCCUGCGCAUGAUUAGCUAGUUGGUGAGGUAAUGGCUCACCAAGGCGACGAUCAUUAGCAGAUCUGAGAGGAUGAUCUGCCACACUGGAACUGACACACGGUCCAGACUCCUACGGGAGGCAGCAGUGGGGAAUAUUGCACAAUGGAGGAAACUCUGAUGCAGCGACGCCGCGUGGGUGAUGAAGGCCUUCGGGUUGUAAAGCCCUGUCGGCUGGGAACAAGUUAGACGUGCUCAUACCACGUUUGAUUGAGUGUACCAGCAAAGGAAGCACCGGCUAACCCUGUG
This 489-nucleotide ribosomal RNA is filed under the name uncultured bacterium. RNAcentral's name for it is "bacterial SSU rRNA". It matches the Rfam family "Bacterial small subunit ribosomal RNA", at positions 30 to 507 of the family's 1533-position model. The record is from RNAcentral.